AUUUUUUUCUUGCAUGGAAUAAAUGUUGGCUUUUGCUUUUUGCUGGGAAGAUUCUGAAAAAUCGCUGUAGACAGAGAGACAGUUUUCAAGGAUUGGUCUUGCAGCUUUGCUUGUAUGUACGUUUGUCGUUUAAAAAUGAUCGUGGAUUUUCGUUCUUUCUUUUUGUUUUUUUUUAUACGAUGCUGUUAUGUUAUCAGUUCGUAAACUUCCUUAUGUUAAAAAGAAG
Pelobates cultripes (western spadefoot toad) is the source of this 226-nucleotide non-coding RNA. The record is from the annotation of a GenBank genome assembly. NCBI's taxonomy places the organism in Eukaryota, Metazoa, Chordata, Amphibia, Anura, Pelobatidae.